AGAGUUUGAUCAUGGCUCAGAACGAACGCUGGCGGCAGGCCUAACACAUGCAAGUCGAACGAAGCCUUCGGGCUUAGUGGCGGACGGGUUAGUAACGCGUGGGAACGCACCCUUUUCUACGGAAUAGCCUUUGGAAACGAAGAGUAAUACCGUAUACGCCCUUCGGGGGAAAGAUUUAUCGGAUAAGGAUCGGCCCGCGUUAGAUUAGAUAGUUGGUGGGGUAAUGGCCUACCAAGUCUACGAUCUAUAGCUGGUUUUAGAGGAUGAUCAGCAACACUGGGACUGAGACACGGCCCAGACUCCUACGGGAGGCAGCAGUGGGGAAUCUUAGACAAUGGGCGCAAGCCUGAUCUAGCCAUGCCGCGUGAGUGAAGAAGGCCUUAGGGUCGUAAAGCUCUUUCGCCUGUGAUGAUAAUGACAGUAGCAGGUAAAGAAACCCCGGCUAACUCCGUGCCAGCAGCCGCGGUAAUACGGAGGGGGUUAGCGUUGUUCGGAAUUACUGGGCGUAAAGCGCACGUAGGCGGAUUGGAAAGUUAGAGGUGAAAUCCCAGGGCUCAACCCUGGAACUGCCUUUAAAACUCCCAGUCUUGAGUUCGAGAGAGGUGAGUGGAAUUCCAAGUGUAGAGGUGAAAUUCGUAGAUAUUUGGAGG
RNAcentral lists this ribosomal RNA (650 nucleotides) under uncultured bacterium. RNAcentral describes it as "bacterial SSU rRNA". It matches the Rfam family "Bacterial small subunit ribosomal RNA", at positions 8 to 704 of the family's 1533-position model. The record is from RNAcentral.